UCAGGGCGGGGCUGAGCGGGGCGGAGCGGGGCGGAGGGUCCAGCCCGGCCCGGCCCGGCCCGGUGUGGGCACGGGCACGGCCGCCCGGCUGCGGGUGGAAACUUGGGAGAAGUUGCGGCCCCCGCCGCCCCGCUACCUGCUGAUGAAGCCGUCCCCGUCGCCGUCGCAGGUGUGAAGAGGACCCGUGCGCCAUCAGCACACGCAGCAGCAACGCUGUCGUUCAUCCCUGUUGGAAGUACAAUUGUGGAACAGCCAAUUCUUGUUUCUGAGUGCACACCUUUUUUCUGCACUAUCAUAUGUUACUCUUCGUACUUCAUUCUUUGAAGACAGACAUUUCUUCCCACAUAACAUUGACGAUGUCUGGUGAAUAUGUAAAGCCAGCAAAGUUAUCAAACUGUUCAUAUUAUACAGCUGCUUUCAAGUAUAAUAGCUGAUGGCAGUUGUUCCAUUGUUAAUAUUUAUUGUAUUUUAACUAAGCCAUUACAAGUCAAAGAGUCUCCGUGGUGUUUUAUUAGCCAGAACUACUUGCAGGUACAAACAUGCAUGCACUCACUGUCAUAUUCUCAUUCUCUUCAGUUUUUCCAAUUUUUCUUGCCCACAUGGGGCUUCCUGGAUGACCAGAGCACCAGGCCAACACAUUUCCAUACCCCUUCUAGAGAAUGGAAGAAGGGAAUAUUGCAAGUAUCCUCGUUCCUUCAUACUGUAGGGUGCAGUCUUUGAAGAUUUACAUUUUGUUCCAUCUUCUGACCUGCAACGGUCUCACUCUUGGUCCCAGCAGGUGCUCUUUCUCAGUCGUAUGUAGGGUGUUAUGUGUGAGACUGGUUGCGUAUUGCAGCUGUGUGAUUUACAUUGAGGAUUGCAUCUGCUGGGCAGU
Anas platyrhynchos (mallard) is the source of this 874-nucleotide long non-coding RNA. RefSeq lists it as uncharacterized. The record is from RefSeq and is a predicted model, not a curated record. Lineage: Eukaryota; Metazoa; Chordata; Aves; Anseriformes; Anatidae.